GGUUGAUCCUGCCAGUAGUCAUAUGCUUGUCUCAAAGAUUAAGCCAUGCACGUCCAGGUAUGAACGAGAUCAUACAGUGAGACUGCGGACGGCUCAUUAAAUCAGUUAUAGUUUAUUUGAUGGUUCCUUGCGCCCCGCGCUACUCGGAUAACCGUAGUAAUCCUAGAGCUAAUACGUGCACGCCACCCCGAACGGGGGGGGACGGCUGGGUUCGGGGGGACCGCCUUCGGGCGUCAUCCCUUCGGGCCCGACGUUCCACCAGCUCCCGAGAGGGGCGUAUUUAUUAGAUAAA
RNAcentral lists this ribosomal RNA (292 nucleotides) under uncultured eukaryote. RNAcentral describes it as "partial 18S ribosomal RNA". It matches the Rfam family "Eukaryotic small subunit ribosomal RNA", at positions 6 to 218 of the family's 1831-position model. The record is from RNAcentral.